Molecule: ribosomal RNA, 436 nt
Filed under: uncultured bacterium
Lineage: Bacteria
Description: partial 16S ribosomal RNA
Rfam family: Bacterial small subunit ribosomal RNA
Source: RNAcentral
UGGGGAAUUUUGGACAAUGGGCGAAAGCCUGAUCCAGCAAUGCCGCGUGUGUGAAGAAGGCCUUCGGGUUGUAAAGCACUUUUGUCCGGAAAGAAAUCCUUGGCUCUAAUACAGUCGGGGGAUGACGGUACCGGAAGAAUAAGCACCGGCUAACUACGUGCCAGCAGCCGCGGUAAUACGUAGGGUGCAAGCGUUAAUCGGAAUUACUGGGCGUAAAGCGUGCGCAGGCGGUUUGCUAAGACCGAUGUGAAAUCCCCGGGCUCAACCUGGGAACUGCAUUGGUGACUGGCAGGCUAGAGUAUGGCAGAGGGGGGUAGAAUUCCACGUGUGAGCAGUGAAAUGCGUAGGAGAUGUGGAGGAAUACCGAUGGCGAAGGCAGCCCCCUGGGCCAAUACUGACGCUCAUGCACGAAAGCGUGGGGGAGCAAACAGGAUUC